AAACGAGCAUCCUCAGAGGCAAAGGUCCAUCCCAGCCUGGCUUCAGAGGAGGGAGCAGGAGCCGGAGCUGCUCUCAGCAGACCUCGCGGCAGAAGGGCUCUGCAGUAACUUUAUGUGGAGUCGAACUUGACUUCACUUGUCAGCCGGCUCUUUGUGACUCACCGAAGGUGCUGAACAGACUAACGAGUGGGAGGAGGAAACAGGGGGAGAGGAAGAAAGGGAGACAGGCAGCCGAAUGAAAGCAGGAACACUGAUUUAUGAACAAAAAAAAAGAAAAGAAAAAGAAAAAAAAAAAAAAGAGGCUGUUUUUCAGAAAGUUACACUAGUCCUUUUCCUGCUCUAAUAUGAGUGGCAUACAAUCCAAGAUCUCCCAGGUUUGAGGAAAGAAAAAAAAAAAAAAAAAGUGAAUCAGAACUUUUAGCUAAAAUGAGAUAAUAACACUUUUAACCUGAUCGUUAUGAUGGAACUCCAGGGGUUUGAUUUAUUCAGCUGUCACUUACCGCACAUCCCAAGUGUAACAGGAGACAUGUUGGAAGUGCAACCUUUAUUUAGGGUUUGUUGGCAUGAUUUCAUUUUAUACUGGCCUUCUGGGAGUUAUUUUUCAUCUUUAGGCAGUUACCACUGCUAACAGGAAAAGGGAAAGCCUUUUUUUGUUAGCUCCUAGUGCAGCGUGGUUAUUAAGGAAGGUGGAAUUCGAGCCUGCUGGGGUGCGAAUCAGAGCGUCGUGGGAGAUGACUCCCAGCCCGCGAUGGGAAGGGGAUGCUGCCGCCGUGCCUUUUCGUUACAGCACCAGAAUUGUUGGAAGAAGUGACUACUUUGGACUCCCCUUGUUUGAAGAUGCUGCAAAAGAGCAGGGACUUUCUGCAGAUGGAGUGGAAGGAAAGCUGCUUAGCACUCAUUACAGUUGGGACCAAAACAAGGAUAUGUCAUCUAUAUUUUAUCCAUAGUGCCUGCAAGUUUUCUUUAAAAAGCCCAGAAACCUGUAAUUCUGAUUUUACCCAUGGAUGGUUGUUGCAAAAAGAAGUUCACUUUUCCCCAGUCAUUCUUCACCACUAAUUCUCCCAAGGUCAGUUCAAUCAUCCCCACAAAUGCAACACGCUGCCAGGCAGAAAGAAUCAGGGUUGAUUAUUUUUUGCAUAUAGUGUAAUUAAGUAUCCUGUGUUUUGAGAUGCAACUUAUCACCAAAUUGUGUGAAGAAGUAAAAGCUAAUUUGCAAAUAACUUGACCAAAAUCUAAACAGUACUGAUGCUGGAUUUAGUAAACUCAGUGAUGCUGAAUUCAGUGGAAGUCUACCAUCCUGUGCGGACUUUCACUGGGAGUCUUCUGGUCUUCCCUGUCUUACUGUUAUGGUAUUCAAUGCUGUGAUGUCUGAACCCAUAAGGAUAGCUUUGAAAAAAAUCUGUCAGCUUGAGAUGAGAUACUCAGUGGGAUUUUCAAAAGAGCUUAUGUAUUUUUUUUUUACCUUGGCGUUUAUAAAACUGCCACAUUGAUGAGAAUGAUUCCCCAAGUUUUGCUAUACCAUAUGGUCCAUGUGCUGUUAGGAGGCCAUCUACUGUGUUUCCUUGUUAGUCAUUCAACUACAUAUUGCGUCCAUCUGCAGCUCUCAUAUGUAGCUUCACUGUAAUUGCCCUUUUCAGAGCAGUGUAUUUCAUUCUGCUUUGUGCCGGCUUGUGAUAAUGUUCUUUCCAAGACAUGCUUCACCAUAUACUCCUUAAAAGGUGCAGCAGUGCCAUGCUGAAUGGUGCAGUAGACGCGUACAGAAGGCUCAGUUAUGAUGUAAAGGAAGAGGAGGACUGGUGUUUAGCUUGGGGAUGAAGAGAGCACAUUC
RNAcentral lists this long non-coding RNA (1828 nucleotides) under Anas platyrhynchos platyrhynchos (common mallard). RNAcentral describes it as "lncRNA (ENSAPLG00000030408.1)". Lineage: Eukaryota; Metazoa; Chordata; Aves; Anseriformes; Anatidae. The record is from RNAcentral.